RNAcentral lists this ribosomal RNA (468 nucleotides) under uncultured bacterium. Its description in RNAcentral is "partial 16S ribosomal RNA". It matches the Rfam family "Bacterial small subunit ribosomal RNA", at positions 28 to 507 of the family's 1533-position model. The record is from RNAcentral.
GACGAACGCUGGCGGCGUGCUUAACACAUGCAAGUCGAACGGAAAGGCCCUGCUUUUGUGGUGUUCUCGAGUGGCGAACGGGUGAGUAACACGUGAGUAACCUGCCCUUGACUUUGGGAUAACUUCAGGAAACUAGGGCUAAUACCGGAUAGGAGCUCCUGCUGCAUGGUGGGGGUUGGAAAGUUUCGGCGGGUGGGGAUGGACUCGCGGCUUAUCAGCUUGUUGGUGGGGUAGUGGCUUACCAAGGCUUUGACGGGUAGCCGGCCUGAGAGGGUGACCGGCCACAUUGGGACUGAGAUACGGCCCAGACUCCUACGGGAGGCAUCAGUGGGGAAUAUUGCACAAUGGGCGGAAGCCUGAUGCAGCAACGCCGCGUGCGGGAUGACGGCCUUCGGGUUGUAAACCGCUUUCGCCUGUGACGAAGCGUGAGUGACGGUAAUGAGUAAAGAAGCACCGGCUAGCUACGUG